AUUGAACGCUGGCGGCGAUGCCUUACACAUGCAAGUCGAACGGUAACAGGGAGCUUGCUCCGCUGACGAGUGGCGAACGGGUGAGUAAUGUAUCGGAACGUACCAUUCAGUGGGGGAGUAACGUAGCGAAAGUUACGCUAAUACCGCAUAUUCUGUGAGCAGGAAAGCAGGGGAUCGCAAGACCUUGCGCUGAUUGAGCGGCCGAUAUCAGAUUAGCUAGUUGGUGAGGUAAAGGCUCACCAAGGCGACGAUCUGUAGCGGGUCUGAGAGGAUGAUCCGCCACACUGGAAUUGAGACACGGUCCAGACUCCUACGGGAGGCAGCAGUGGGGAAUUUUGGACAAUGGGGGCAACCCUGAUCCAGCCAUGCCGCGUGAGUGAAGAAGGCUUUCGGGUUGUAAAGCUCUUUCGGCCGGGAAAAAAUCGCAUCAGUUAAUACCUGGUGUGGAUGAUGGUACCGGAAUAAGAAGCACCGGCUAACUACGUG
This 486-nucleotide ribosomal RNA is filed under the name uncultured bacterium. RNAcentral's name for it is "bacterial SSU rRNA". It matches the Rfam family "Bacterial small subunit ribosomal RNA", at positions 30 to 507 of the family's 1533-position model. The record is from RNAcentral.